UAGCAGAUGAGGGCAGCAAACAUUUAAUUUCUAUGAUCUACAAAUAAGUUUAAAUUACUACGCUAGUUACAGUUGCUAUUUUGUGUUAGAGAGCAUUGGAAGGCAUAAACACACCCAGUUACUGCUCCUACUAAAUGCUUGCUCAUUCGGUAAUAACAUCCUAAUCUCCUUCCUUCCCCUCCUCUCCUUCCUUCCCUCUUUCCUUCCUCUUCUGUCCAGGCUUUGCUGGCUAGCUUGUCUCCUUCCUCCCUUGGCUCCAGCUAGGAAAGAGAUCUUAGCACCAACAGACACCUCUCUCUCUCUCUCUCUCUCUCUCUCUCUCUCUCUCUCUCUCUCUCUCCACCAGUUCCCUAGCUCUCUCGGCCCCCAAUUUUCUAACCCCCGGCAGUUGUACAGACAAACCAUCGCUGCCACCACCACCCCAACCCACCCCCAGCAGCAGCAGCAGCAGCAGCAGCAGCAGCAGCAGCAGCAGCAGCAGCAACAGCUCUACAUGUAGAUGCUGGCCCUGGCCUCUAACUUGCUGCCUACCACACAGAGCCACUUCCGCCUUCAGGAGAGUGCCUGAGAAAGAGGCUUUGUUUCCUGCCUGGUUCUCCAGGGACUGAGAACCACAGACUGCUGACCCAGGACAUCACAGAAUCCUCCGCACACCAGGAAUUUGAGGUGACGGUCUGCUCUCCAGCCUAGCUCUGGUGAAGGGUCAGGGAUAUAACAUCCUCUAAACCCGAGCCAGCUGUCUGAUGGAAUUGAACUCUGCCCCUGAGUGGCCUGUACCAAGCCUCAACCUCUCUGAAAAGAAAACGAGAAUAAGAACACCUUGCUACAUAAAGUUGAGCCAUAGAUUCCUUGACAAAUAACCCAGAGCCAUGAGAAGCAUCCCUCUGUGUUGCUGGUCAGAGGACUUCAGGAGACCCCAAAACAAAUAUAGGCUAUUGCCAUCAUACUUGGUUUUCUCUCAGAACUUGAAGGUAAAUGCAACUCUUUCCCUUCAUCAAGGAAGCCUCAUUGGCAGCAGACAGAGACUACUUCAGAGAUCCCCAACCAGUUCAAAUGCAGCAAAUGUGUGACCGUGAGGUGUACAGUCCCAGCUGAUACAUCUACAACACAACCCCUACACACAAGUUUCAGGGAACACUGUGAAAGAAGAGGCUGAAAGAUCUUAAGAGCGAGAGGACCAGGGAGCUGGCUGUAAGACAGUAUCUUCUAGACAUAACAUGAGUGCUGUACCCAUGAAGUCUCAACAGUAUGGUUGCCUAAACAUGGCCUACAUAGUGACCCUAUAGUCAGCAUGCCAAUGGGAAAUUAAACAAAGCCCCACCAGUAAAUAUAGAGCUACAGGCAGUCUAUGGCUGUGGAGAGAGGGAAAAUAAAUUUUCUUCAGUGACAAGCCUCCUGAUAGGUUAUCCAAGCCCCAGUGGCUAUCUCUAAACACAUACACACACAGGAAUUCAGUAGGUGGUGGUAUACAUACAUAUAGGGAUAUAUAUAUAUAUAUAUAUAUACACACACACACACACAUAUACAGCAAUAACAUGGGCUUGAAAAGGGAGAAGAGAUGUAAUGUGGAGGAAUGGAAAUAUUGUAAAUACUGUGUGCUCAUGUAUGAAAUUUAUUUUAAAAAUUAAAAAAACAAAUCCAAUGAUUGUGAAAGAUGUCAACAUUAAAGGAUAAUUAAAAGGUAACAUAUAUGGAAUCAUUGUGGUUUGAGGUAAUAUAUGACAUGCAACUUAAGUUAGUUCAAAUAUUAAUAUUCAUUAGUGUCAUUUAUUAUGACUCAAAAUAAAGAAAAGGGCCAAAAAUGGCAAACAGUUAGGAAUUUUACAGUUAUUGAUGAUAUUCCAAUUCAAAAGGCAGUAAUUUUGCAUAAUAGUACUUAUGGGCAUUCAUCAGUUAGAAUACUCUUGGUUUUAACAGAAAACUAUGAUGCAACCAUUUAAGUUAAACAAUCAGUAAUUUAUUAUAAAAAAGAAGAAAGGCAAUCCUCACAACACCUGAAGCUACUGUGGCACUCACUGCUUGAUGUGUUAGAAUAGCAGCUCGAGUCUAAACGUAGCACACCAGACCAAAGCAGUUCCACGUGUAAGAGGUUUAUUGGGAGAGAGGGGAGCAAGGUGAUGGCAGAAAGAGAAGGGGGGGAAGAGAGAGAGAGAUCAGGGAGGUUUGUCUUUAUAUAUGAGUGAUGAUGUAACACAGGUAAAGGUGGGAGAUGAGCUAAGUGGAUUCUGGGAAUAUGGUAGCUGUUGCCUUGGCAACAGGUCUGCAGGUCCCGCCUAUGUGAUGUCAUGGGUUUCAGAGAUCCUGAUAACAACACUGCUACCUCAUGCACGAAAGACAACGUAUGGUAAAGGAAGAGUGGCCAUUCCAAACUACUGCCUUCUUAAUUACUAUUAGGAAACCCAUUUCCUUGGGCUGGAGCAAUGGCUCAGCAAUCAGAGCACUAGCUUCACCUGCCAGAGAACCUGGCUUUGAUCCCCAGAACCCACAGGACAGCACCCGACUGUAUAUGAUUCCAGUUCUGGAGCUCCUGGGCCUCUUCGGGCCUCUUUGGGCACCAGGUGUGCACACCCGUUCAUGCACGCAAAGUACCCAUACACAUAAAAUAGUAAUUAAAACAUUAUUUAAAAGAAAUACAUUUCUCUAAAUCCAUCCAAUUCUUGUGUCACUUUGGCUAGAAUUCUUUUGCAUUUUUCCUCCUUAUUCUGUUGCUAGCUAAAAGAAGAGACUAUCCACAGCUAAGGCAAAUUCUGUUUUGCCCAAGAGGCUGACGGUAGAGCCCACCUCUGGGAACAAGUUUCUACUGAAAAGAAUGUGGACCAGCGACUUAAGACAGAGCCCUUGGCCGACAGGAUGGAGUGUACCUGUGACCCCAGCACUCAGACGGUGGAGGCAAAAGGAUCAGGAGGAGUUCAAGGCCAGUCUCAAUGACAU
Molecule: long non-coding RNA, 2931 nt
Organism: Mus musculus (house mouse)
Lineage: Eukaryota; Metazoa; Chordata; Mammalia; Rodentia; Muridae
Product: predicted gene, 35946
Exons: 5
Source: RefSeq, a predicted model, not a curated record